GAUGAACGCUAGCGGCAUGCCUAAUACAUGCAAGCCAAGGGCUGUUUGGUGUAGCAAUACAUCCAACCACUGGCGGCCGGGUGCGUAACGCGUAUUCAACCUACCCUAUACAGGACGAUAGCCCUCGGAAACGACGAGUAAUACUCCAUAAGAAUGCUUAGAGGCAUCUUUAAGCAUUUAAAGCCGCAAGUCGGCAUACGAUGGGCGAGCGUCCGAUUAGCUAGUUGGUGAUGUAACGGCUCACCAAGGCGAUGAUCGGUAGGGGUUAUGAGAGGAAGAUACCCCACACGGGCACUGAGACACAGGCCCGACUCCUAGGGAGCGCAGCAGUAAGGAAUAUUAGACAAUGGGUGAUAGCCUGAUCCAGCCGUGCCGCGUGCGAGAAGAAGGGCCUAUGAGUUGUAUACUACUUUUGAGAGGGAGAAAUAUGGGCGAUGCGUCGCUCGAUGAUAGUACUUCACGAGUAAGCAACGGCUAACUUCGUG
RNAcentral lists this ribosomal RNA (485 nucleotides) under uncultured bacterium. RNAcentral's name for it is "partial 16S ribosomal RNA". It matches the Rfam family "Bacterial small subunit ribosomal RNA", at positions 28 to 507 of the family's 1533-position model. The record is from RNAcentral.